UUCCGUAGGGGAACCUGCGGAGGGAUCAUU
RNAcentral lists this ribosomal RNA (30 nucleotides) under Phylloporia weberiana. RNAcentral describes it as "partial 18S ribosomal RNA". The record is from RNAcentral. Lineage: Eukaryota; Fungi; Basidiomycota; Agaricomycetes; Hymenochaetales; Hymenochaetaceae.